This 433-nucleotide ribosomal RNA is filed under the name uncultured bacterium. Its description in RNAcentral is "partial 16S ribosomal RNA". It matches the Rfam family "Bacterial small subunit ribosomal RNA", at positions 29 to 507 of the family's 1533-position model. The record is from RNAcentral.
AACGAACGCUGGCGGCAUGCCUAACACAUGCAAGUCGAACGAGACCUUCGGGUCUAGUGGCGCACGGGUGCGUAACGCGUGGGAACCUGCCCUUAGGUUCGGAAUAACUACCCGAAAGGGGUGAUAAUACCGGAUAAUGUCUUCGGACCAAAGAUUUAUCGCCUUUGGAUGGGCCCGCGUUGGAUUAGCUAGUUGGUAGGGUAAAAGCCUACCAAGGCGACGAUCCAUAGCUGGUCUGAGAGGAUGAUCAGCCACACUGGGACUGAGACACGGCCCAGACUCCUACGGGAGGCAGCAGUGGGGAAUAUUGGACAAUGGGCGAAAGCCUGAUCCAGCAAUGCCGCGUGAGUGAUGAAGGCCUUAGGGUUGUAAAGCUCUUUUACCCGGGAUGAUAAUGACAGUACCGGGAGAAUAAGCUCCGGCUAACUCCGUG